Molecule: ribosomal RNA, 324 nt
Filed under: uncultured eukaryote
Lineage: Eukaryota
Description: partial 18S ribosomal RNA
Rfam family: Eukaryotic small subunit ribosomal RNA
Source: RNAcentral
CCCUUUGAUGUUCUGGGCCGCACGCGCGCUACACUGAUGCAUUCAACGAGUUUCUUCCUGGUCCGAGAGGAAUGGGUAACCUUUUGAAAGUGCAUCGUGAUAGGGAUAGACUAUUGCAAUUAUUGGUCUUCAACGAGGAAUUCCUAGUAGACGUAGUUCAUCAGACUGCAUCGAUUACGUCCCUGCCCUUUGUACACACCGCCCGUCGCUCCUACCGAUUGAAUGCUCAGGUGAGCCAUUCGGACUUUCAUCAUGCUGGUUUCCAGUUUUGAUGAAGGAAAGUCUUGCGAACCUUAUCAUUUAGAGGAAGGAGAAGUCGUAACA